RNAcentral lists this ribosomal RNA (321 nucleotides) under uncultured eukaryote. RNAcentral describes it as "partial 18S ribosomal RNA". It matches the Rfam family "Eukaryotic small subunit ribosomal RNA", at positions 1470 to 1796 of the family's 1831-position model. The record is from RNAcentral.
CCCUUAGAUGUUCUGGGCCGCACGCGCGCUACACUGAUGCAUUCAACGAGUUUCUUCCUGGUCCGAGAGGAAUGGGUAACCUUUUGAAAGUGCAUCGUGAUAGGGAUAGACUAUUGCAAUUAUUGGUCUUCAACGAGGAAUUCCUAGUAGACGUAGUUCAUCAGACUGCAUCGAUUACGUCCCUGCCCUUUGUACACACCGCCCGUCGCUCCUACCGAUUGAAUGGUCCGGUGAAAUCUCGGGACGGCGGCUUGGUCGCUUGCGUCCGACUGCUGAAACUUGAUUAAACCAUAUCAUUUAGAGGAAGGUGAAGUCGUAACA